This 316-nucleotide long non-coding RNA is filed under the name Carica papaya (papaya). RNAcentral describes it as "long non-coding RNA (CPAP_LNC007134)". Lineage: Eukaryota; Viridiplantae; Streptophyta; Magnoliopsida; Brassicales; Caricaceae. The record is from RNAcentral.
UGAAUGGUAGCCUUACUGGAUAUCCUGAGAGAUGGUAGAUGGACCGGGUACAUAGGGAACCCAACCGUGAACAUCGUCUCAUACCGGACGAGGUAUCGAGGAUUAGUAUUUUGGCGCUCAUACCGGACGAGAUAUGGAAACGGCCCAUUUCACCCUCAUGCCCGACGAGGUAUUGAGGGAUGGUAUUUUGGCGUUCAUACCAGACAAAGUAUGGGAACGACCCGUUAAUUGAAAAUGUUAAAAAAAUAAAAUGGUUCACGCAUAAUGGGGACAUUCCAAUGGACCCCAAUAGAUACUAGUAGGCUAAUAAAAGAGA